This 252-nucleotide ribosomal RNA is filed under the name uncultured bacterium. RNAcentral describes it as "partial 16S ribosomal RNA". It matches the Rfam family "Bacterial small subunit ribosomal RNA", at positions 524 to 776 of the family's 1533-position model. The record is from RNAcentral.
UACGGGGGGUGCGAGCGUUGUCCGGAUUCACUGGGCGUAAAGGGCGCGUAGGCGGCCCGGUCAGUCGGUCCUUUAAGAGCGGGGCUCACCCCCGUGGGGGGACCGGGACGGCUGGGCUGGGGCGCGGCAGAGGGGGACGGAAUGCCGGGUGUAGUGGUGAAAUGCGUAGAGAUCCGGCGGAACACCGGUGGCGCAGGCGGUCCCCUGGGCCGAGGCCGACGCUGAGGCGCGAGAGCGCGGGGAGCGAACCGG